GUGGGGAAUUUUGGACAAUGGGCGCAAGCCUGAUCCAGCAAUGCCGCGUGCAGGAAGAAGGCCUUCGGGUUGUAAACUGCUUUUGUACGGAACGAAACGGUCCGGGUUAAUACCCUGGGCUAAUGACGGUACCGUAAGAAUAAGCACCGGCUAACUACGUGCCAGCAGCCGCGGUAAUACGUAGGGUGCAAGCGUUAAUCGGAAUUACUGGGCGUAAAGCGUGCGCAGGCGGUUUUGUAAGACAGGCGUGAAAUCCCCGGGCUCAACCUGGGAAUUGCGCUUGAGACUGCAAGGCUGGAGUGCGGCAGAGGGGGAUGGAAUUCCGCGUGUAGCAGUGAAAUGCGUAGAUAUGCGGAGGAACACCGAUGGCGAAGGCAAUCCCCUGGGCCUGCACUGACGCUCAUGCACGAAAGCGUGGGGAGCAAACAGGAUUAGAAACCCGUGUAGUCC
RNAcentral lists this ribosomal RNA (450 nucleotides) under uncultured bacterium. RNAcentral's name for it is "bacterial SSU rRNA". It matches the Rfam family "Bacterial small subunit ribosomal RNA", at positions 354 to 796 of the family's 1533-position model. The record is from RNAcentral.